The sequence is a small nuclear RNA, 164 nucleotides long. Its record names the gene U4. It matches the Rfam family "U4 spliceosomal RNA". Rfam says of the family: U4 small nuclear RNA (U4 snRNA) is a component of the major U2-dependent spliceosome. The structure of U4 snRNA from yeast and human has been reported. The record is from Ensembl.
AGCUUUGUACAGUGGCAGUAUCAUAGUUAAUGAGGUUUAUCUGAGGCGUAAUUAUUGCUAAUUAAAAUUUCCACGAACCAAAUUGGCCAAACCUAGAAUAUUUUGUGUAGGGGAAGCUCCUUCAAUUGAGCAUCGGACUCUCAAUUUCUGUUAAGGUUAUGAUC